UCGAAUCUUUGAACGCAUCUUGCGCUCCUUGGUAUUCCUCGGAGCAUGCCUGUUUGAGUGUCGUGAAU
Molecule: ribosomal RNA, 68 nt
Filed under: Meira miltonrushii
Lineage: Eukaryota; Fungi; Basidiomycota; Exobasidiomycetes; Exobasidiales; Brachybasidiaceae
Description: partial 5.8S ribosomal RNA
Rfam family: 5.8S ribosomal RNA
About the family: 5.8S ribosomal RNA (5.8S rRNA) is a component of the large subunit of the eukaryotic ribosome. It is transcribed by RNA polymerase I as part of the 45S precursor that also contains 18S and 28S rRNA.
Source: RNAcentral